RNAcentral lists this long non-coding RNA (1150 nucleotides) under Taeniopygia guttata (zebra finch). Its description in RNAcentral is "lncRNA (ENSTGUG00000023103.1)". The record is from RNAcentral. Lineage: Eukaryota; Metazoa; Chordata; Aves; Passeriformes; Estrildidae.
CCCGUCCCCUCUUCUGGGGUCCCGGGGGAUUUUGGGGCGGGUUUUGGGGUGUAUUUUGGGGCGGGGGUCCCCGGGGAUUUUAGGGCGGGUUUGGGGUGUAUUUUGGGGCGGGGGUCCCUGGGGAUUUAGGGGUGGAUUUUGGGGUGUAUUUUGGGGAGGGGGUCCCUGGGGAUUUUGGGGCGGGUUUGGGGUGUAUUUUGGGGCGGGGGUCCCUGGGGAUUUUGGGGCGGGUUUGGGGUGUAUUUUGGGGCGGGGGUCCCUGGGGAUUUUGGGGGCGGACCCCCCACUUCCCUCCCCCGGGGCACUGGGGCGAAUCUCCUGCCGGGCCCGGCCGCGCGCAGCUGAUGGCGGCUGCUCCCCAAAUCCGGGGGGCUCCCCCAAAACGGGGGGUCCCGAGCCCCCUCCUCAUCCUCCUCCUCCUCCUCCUCCUCCUCCUCCCAGGUAUCGCUGGGGGGAAUUGGAGGUCUGGGGGCUUCGGGGGUCUCGGGGUUUGAGUUUGGAUCUGGGGAGGUUUGAGGGGUUCUGGGGUGUCGGGGUUUGGGGAUGGGGGUUUUGGGGGUCCCAGGGUUUGGGUCUGGGAGUUUUGGGGGUUUCGGGGGUCCCAGGGUUUGGGUCUGGGGGUUUCAGGAGUUCCAGGGUCUCAUUUUUGGGGUCUCGGGGGUCCUCAGGCUCUCACCUCUGGGUUUUGGGGUGUUUCAGGACUUCCGGGGUCUCAGGGUUUGGGUCUGGGGGUUUUGGGGGGGUCCCACCUGUGCCCACCCCCCUUAACGGCCGUGGGGACCCUCCUGAACCCACUUGGGGGUCUCGGGGGACCCCAAAACCAAAAACAACCUCCGGGUGCUUCCCCCCAGCCACCUGGGCCGGGGUGUCCCCUGGGACCCCCCCCCGAACUUCCCGUUCCAACCAGAGCUGAAACUGGGGGGGCAGAGCUGGAAUUGGGGGGGCAGAGCUGAAACUGGGGGGGCAGAGCAGGAACUGGGGGGCAGAGCUGAAAUUGGGGGGGCAGAGGUGGAACUAGGGGGGCAGCAGGGCUGGGGGUCCCCCCGGUGCCACCUGCAGGGUCCCCGUGUGAGACCCCCACCCACGGGGGGGAUUCAGGGACCCCCCUCUGUGAGACCCCCACCCACGGGGGGAUUCAGGAACCCCCUGU